This 54-nucleotide transfer RNA is filed under the name Calotes jerdoni. RNAcentral describes it as "tRNA-Cys". The record is from RNAcentral. Lineage: Eukaryota; Metazoa; Chordata; Lepidosauria; Squamata; Agamidae.
GGCUCAGAAAACGCCAAAUUGCAAAUUUGGAGAAGAGCUUCGGCUCCUGGGCCU